GCACUGGGGAGUACGGCCGCAAGGUUAGAAACUCAACAGGAAUUGCGACGGGGACCCGCACAAGCGGUGGAUGAUGUGGUCUUNAUUUCGAUGCNACGCGAAAAACCUUACCUACCUUUGACAUGUACGGAAUUCGCCAGAGAUGGCUUAGAUGCUCGAAAGAGAACCGUAACNCAGGUGCUGCAUGGCAUGUCGUCAGCAUCGUGUCAGUGAGAUGUUGGGUUAAGUCCCGCAACGAGCGCAACCCUUGUCAUUAGUUGCUACAUUUAGUUGGGCACUCUAAUGGGACUGCCGGUGACAAAACCGGAGGAAGGUGGGGAUGACAGUCAAGUCCUCAUGGCCCUUGAUAAGGUAGGGCUACACACGUCAUACAAUGNNUGGAUACAGAAGGGUUCGCCCAAACCCGCCGAGGGGGGANGACAUANNCGCCAUUAAAACCAGUCGUAGUCCCGGGAUCGCUAGGAUUCUGGCAAACCUGCGACUACCGUGNANUACGNAAUCGA
Molecule: ribosomal RNA, 503 nt
Filed under: uncultured beta proteobacterium
Lineage: Bacteria; Pseudomonadati; Pseudomonadota; Betaproteobacteria
Description: partial 16S ribosomal RNA
Rfam family: Bacterial small subunit ribosomal RNA
Source: RNAcentral